ACAAGAAGCUUCGACUAAGGUUCGACUCGAGCGAAGCGAGAGAACGUUGCCGCAGGCAACGGCCCGAAGGGCGAGGCGCUUUAGCGCCGAGUAAUCCUUCCCCCACCACCA
This 111-nucleotide small RNA is filed under the name Klebsiella pneumoniae subsp. pneumoniae. RNAcentral describes it as "partial RtT sRNA". It matches the Rfam family "RtT RNA", at positions 22 to 130 of the family's 130-position model. From Rfam's summary of the family: This family represents a bacterial cis-regulatory element known as RtT RNA. The exact function of RtT is unknown although it is thought that it may be involved in changing the cellular response in relation to amino acid starvation. The record is from RNAcentral. Lineage: Bacteria; Pseudomonadati; Pseudomonadota; Gammaproteobacteria; Enterobacterales; Enterobacteriaceae.